This 390-nucleotide transfer-messenger RNA is filed under the name Candidatus Kaiserbacteria bacterium RIFCSPHIGHO2_01_FULL_58_22. It matches the Rfam family "transfer-messenger RNA". From Rfam's summary of the family: Bacterial tmRNA, also known as 10Sa RNA or SsrA, is named for its dual tRNA and mRNA-like properties. Its role is to liberate the mRNA from a stalled ribosome. To accomplish this part of the tmRNA is used as a reading frame that ends in a translation stop signal. The record is from RNAcentral. RNAcentral also lists the same sequence under 4 other names. Lineage: Bacteria; Candidatus Kaiseribacteriota.
GGGGGUGACUGGCUUCGACAAAGAAAUCGGUGUGUGUUUGCGCGUUGCGAGAGUGAACGACUCUCUCAAACCGUUCAAACACUUCAAGUGCGAACAAAGUAGCACGUGCAGUACUCUCGCCUAUUCAAAUGGCAGACCUGCAGCCCGCUUACGCAUACGUUGCCUAAGCGCCGUCCAUCGAGCCGAUGCUUGAUCAAGCUCGACCGGGCGUAACACAUUCAAGCACUGAUGAACGGCGUCCACUGUUCAUCUAAGACUUCGGAAUCGGGGCAUUGCGUUUCUGUUCAUCUCAUAUGCAACGCUCUUAAACAAAAUCAGAUGUCCUACGCAAUGUAGACACACUCACACACUUUUCCUUGGACUCGGGAUCAUUCCCCGACACCUCCACUG